GUGAGGUGGAGCGAAUCNCAAAACUACGGUCUCAGUUCAGAUUGCAGGCUGCAACUCGCCUGCAUGAAGUUGGAAUUGCUAGUAAUCGCGAAUCAGAAUGUCGCGGUGAAUACGUUCCCGGGCCUUGUACACACCGCCCGUCACACCAUGGGAGUCGGGAAUGCCCGAAGUCAGUGGCCCAACCGGAAGGGGGGAGCUGCCGAAGGCAGGCCCGGUGACUGGGGUGAAGUCGUAACAAGGUAUC
Molecule: ribosomal RNA, 244 nt
Filed under: uncultured bacterium
Lineage: Bacteria
Description: partial 16S ribosomal RNA
Rfam family: Bacterial small subunit ribosomal RNA
Source: RNAcentral